Molecule: ribosomal RNA, 348 nt
Filed under: uncultured bacterium
Lineage: Bacteria
Description: partial 16S ribosomal RNA
Rfam family: Bacterial small subunit ribosomal RNA
Source: RNAcentral
CCUACGGGUGGCAGCAGUCGAGAAUCAUUCACAAUGGGCGACACCCUGAUGGUGCGACGCCGCGUGGGGGAAUGAAGGUCUUCGGAUUGUAAACCACUGUCAUGUGGGAGCAAAUUAAAAAGAUAGUACCACAAGAGGAAGAGCCGGCUAACUCUGUGCAAGCAGCCGCGGUAAUACAGAGGUCUCAAGAGUUGUUCGGAAUCCCUGGGCGGAAAGCGUGCGGUGGCUGUUUUGCAAGUCGUGUGUGAAAGCCGCGGGCUCAACCCGCGGACGGCACAUGAUACUGCGCGACUAGAGUGAUGGAGGGGGAACCGGAAUGCUCGGUGUAGCGGUGAAAUGCGUAGAGAU